UUAGAAUUGGUGCUUAGGCUUCUAACUUGAGCGAGGGGAUAAAUAUCUCCAUUCUAUU
Molecule: transfer RNA, 58 nt
Filed under: Sakuraeolis japonica
Lineage: Eukaryota; Metazoa; Mollusca; Gastropoda; Nudibranchia; Glaucidae
Description: tRNA-Ser
Source: RNAcentral